Molecule: ribosomal RNA, 497 nt
Filed under: uncultured bacterium
Lineage: Bacteria
Description: partial 16S ribosomal RNA
Rfam family: Bacterial small subunit ribosomal RNA
Source: RNAcentral
GAUGAACGCUGGCGGCGUGCCUAAUACGUGCAAGUCGAGCGAACAGACGAGGAGCUUGCUCCUCUGACGUUAGCGGCGGACGGGUGAGUAACACGUGGAUAACCUACCUAUAAGACUGGGAUAACUUCGGGAAACCGGAUCUAAUACCGGAUAAUAUAUUGAACCGCAUGGUUCAAUAGUGAAAGACGGUUUUGCUGUCACUUAUAGAUGGAUCCGCGCCGCAUUAGCUAGUUGGUAAGGUAACGGCUUACCAAGGCUACGAUGCGUAGCCGACCUGAGAGGGUGAUCGGCCACACUGGAACUGAGACACGGUCCAGACUCCUACGGGAGGCAGCAGUAGGGAAUCUUCCGCAAUGGGCGAAAGCCUGACGGAGCAACGCCGCGUGAGUGAUGAAGGUCUUCGGAUCGUAAAACUCUGUUAUUAGGGAAGAACAAAUGUGUAAGUAACUAUGCACGGCUUGACGGUACCUAAUCAGAAAGCCACGGCUAACUACGUG